GGUUUCAUACUGUAGUGGUUAGCACAUCUGCUUUACACGCAGACGGUACUGGGUUCACGUCCCAGUGGAGCCA
RNAcentral lists this transfer RNA (73 nucleotides) under Pteropus alecto (black flying fox). It matches the Rfam family "tRNA". From Rfam's summary of the family: Transfer RNA (tRNA) molecules are approximately 80 nucleotides in length. Their secondary structure includes four short double-helical elements and three loops (D, anti-codon, and T loops). Lineage: Eukaryota; Metazoa; Chordata; Mammalia; Chiroptera; Pteropodidae. The record is from Rfam by way of RNAcentral.